UAAUAUUUAUUGAUUUGUAAAAAGUUCUGAUUUUUCUAACACUUAAAUGUAGGAAAAUGUGCAGUGUUAAAACUACCAUCUUUUGCCUUUCUUUCUUCCCCAGUUAUUUGUUAACUAAUUCAUUCAACAAGUAUUUAUUGAGCACCUGUUAUGUGUCAGAGACAAGACACAUAGAUAUGGGGAUACAGUGAUGAAAGAAAACAGACAAGUACACCUGCCUUCAGGAAGCUUAUUUGAGUGGGAGAAGACAACAGAUGUAGUAAAAUCAGUAAAUUAUAUAGUUAGUUAUGAGAUCAUAGGUGCUAUGGUAAAAAAAUUAGCUCAGGGUAGUGGGAAUCAAGAGUGUUGGGGAGGGAAGAAAAGGGUGAAAUUUUAUAACAGAUUGUUGGUGCUGGUCUUUUUACAAAGAUGACAUUUGAGCAAAGACCUAAGUAAAGACCCACGAAAGGAGUUAGCCAUGUGGCCAUUUGAGGGAAUGUCCGCAAGAAGGCUCCAAGAUAGUCCGCAAGGAGGCCAGUGCAACUGAUGCGGAAUGAGACGCGGAAGGAGAGGAACUGAGCUCUCCAAGGCGGUGGAUGUCACAUCACGUAAGCUCUUUUUGUUCUGUUGGUGUCUUUAAAUAAUGCACUUAAACAUGGAUUUCUGCUGAGCUUACCCCAGGCCAAAAGCCCAACACUGUUCUCUGAAGAGAAGUGAGGCAGGGGAGGUUGAACUACUCAAACUCGGUUUCUGCUUCCUACCUCACCACCUGGAUGAUUCAUGGCUCCUCCCCCGUGACAGAAUGUGUGAGAGACGGGAGAGUCCGGGGUUGCGAUAACUGAUGAGAAAAGAAAGCAGGGGGAGAAGCCGUUCACAGUGAUCACGUUUGACUUCUUCUGUUGACAGAUGAGGAAAUUGAAGUCCCAAAAGGAAAACUGACCCACCUAGUGUUAUUUAUUUAAGAACAGAUAUUAGACUCCAGUCUAAUCUAUCCUCUUCGCUCUUCCUGUUGUACUGAGGACAUCCCUGUAACGAAUCGGGAAUAGAAACAGUAUGGUUUUAUCAGGUUGAUCAUAGUUGGGAAUAAGAAUUUGU
Molecule: long non-coding RNA, 1074 nt
Filed under: Equus asinus (donkey)
Lineage: Eukaryota; Metazoa; Chordata; Mammalia; Perissodactyla; Equidae
Description: lncRNA (ENSEASG00005034477.1)
Source: RNAcentral